AUGUCCGAUCCGAAUUACAUGACUUCACGCGCAAUCCUCUCCACCACGAACGACAACGUCGACAAGAUAAACAUACGCAUGGUAGAGCGUUUUCGGGGAGAAGAAGUAAUCUACCAUAGCUUUGACAGUGCAGAAGACGACCCGUAUGGCUACUACGCUCCCGAGUUCCUAAAUGGAUUGACUCCGAACGGUCUGCCACCGCAUGCACUCAAACUGAAGCUCAACUGCCCAGUCAUACUUCUCCGGAACAUUGAUCCGGCUAAUGGUCUGUGUAACGGGACGAGGCUUGUGGUGCGAGGUUUCGAGAGGAAUGCCAUCGACGCAGUAAUCGUGAUCGGACAACACACAGGUAGGAGGGUAUUCCUUCCUCGAAUACCCCUAUGCCCGUCUGACAACGACAUGUUUCCAUUCAAGUUCAAGAGGAAGCAAUUUCCUGUAAGACUUAGCUUUGCUAUGACGAUUAACAAGGCUCAAGGCCAGACGAUUCCGAUUGUUGGUGUGUACCUACCUAAUCCGGUGUUUUCUCAUGGUCAACUGUAUGUUGCAUUGUCUCGAGCCACCGCAAAGAGAAAUAUAAAGAUCCUCAUUGAGAAGGAGAAGGAGAAGGAGAAUGCCAAGAAGAAAAGCGGUAAAUCUAAGAAGCGAAAAAGACCUGCCUUGUCCUUACAGACCGCGAUGAAGAACAUCGUCUAUAAGGAAGUCCUUACGGGCUGA
Molecule: ribosomal RNA, 714 nt
Filed under: Triticum aestivum (bread wheat)
Lineage: Eukaryota; Viridiplantae; Streptophyta; Magnoliopsida; Poales; Poaceae
Description: partial small subunit ribosomal RNA
Source: RNAcentral